GGGGAGAGAGACCGAGAGGGAAAGAGACUCGUGCAUUGAGAAGUUCAAGUUGUGUCGGAAAACAGUAUUGGAUCUCCGGGACUAUAACAGCCUGCUCCAGCCUCAUCCAGGAUGCAUCUUCUAGCGAAAUACAUUCUCAUCCUCCAAAUUAUUGUCCUUUUUGCAACAACCUGCCAGACUUUGUCAUGCGUUCCUUGUGAUGAAUUGACCUGCGAGGAUCCAACGGAUUGCAAAGGGGGGCUGGUGCGCAGUAAGUGUGGCUGCUGCAAUGUGUGUGCCAAGGUGAAGGGCGAGAGUUGUGGUGGCCCCAUGCGUCUGGAAGGGAGAUGCGACGAGGGGCUGAAGUGCGUGUACCCGGAAUGGCUCCGUAUCGACUCGACCGGAGUUUGCGAGUAAAUCUGAGCUGAGGCAGGGAAUGGGAGUCAUUAUAUGGAUUCAAGAGGAGCUUAUCCAGAAUCAUCUACCCAACAUGUGCUUGGUGUGAAAUGAGUGCCAAUCAGAACGCUAUGCUUUACUGUCUUGAAUUUCCCCUUGGGGAUCAAUAAAGUAUCUAUCUAUCUA
This is a long non-coding RNA of Sardina pilchardus (European sardine), 561 nucleotides long. RefSeq lists it as uncharacterized. Lineage: Eukaryota; Metazoa; Chordata; Actinopteri; Clupeiformes; Clupeidae. The transcript has 3 exons. The record is from RefSeq and is a predicted model, not a curated record.